GACGAACGCUGGCGGCGUGCCUAAUACAUGCAAGUAGAACGCUGAAGGAGGAUCUUGCUUCUCUGGAUGAGUUGCGAACGGGUGAGUAACGCGUAGGUAACCUGCCUGGUAGCGGGGGAUAACUAUUGGAAACGAUAGCUAAUACCGCAUAAGAGUAGAUUUUGCAUGACAUUUUCUUAAAAGGUGCAAUUUCAUCACUACCAGCUGGACCUGCGUUGUAUUAGCUAGUUGGUGGGGUAACGGCUUUCCAAGGCGACGAGACAUAGCCGACCUGAGAGGGGGAUCGGACACAAGGGGACUGAGACACGGCCCAGACUCCUACGGGAGGCAGCAGUAGGGAAGCUUCGGAAAUGGACGGAAGGCUGAGCGAGCAACGCAGCGUGAGUGAAGAAGGUUUUCGGAUCGUAAAGAUAUGUUGUAAGAGAAGAACGAGUGUGAGAGUGGAAAGUUCAAAAAGUGACGGUAUCUUACCAGAAAGGGACGGAUAACUACGUG
This 495-nucleotide ribosomal RNA is filed under the name uncultured bacterium. RNAcentral describes it as "partial 16S ribosomal RNA". It matches the Rfam family "Bacterial small subunit ribosomal RNA", at positions 28 to 507 of the family's 1533-position model. The record is from RNAcentral.